This 493-nucleotide ribosomal RNA is filed under the name uncultured bacterium. RNAcentral describes it as "bacterial SSU rRNA". It matches the Rfam family "Bacterial small subunit ribosomal RNA", at positions 28 to 517 of the family's 1533-position model. The record is from RNAcentral.
GAUGAACGCUGGCGGCGUGCUUAACACAUGCAAGUCGAACGAAGCGAAUUUAUUGGAUCUUUCGGGAAAAGAUAAAUUUGACUUAGUGGCGGACGGGUGAGUAACGCGUGGGUAACCUGCCCUGUACAGGGGGAUAACAGUUAGAAAUGACUGCUAAUACCCCAUAAGCGCACAGUGUCGCAUGACACAGUGUGAAAAACUCCGGUAGUACAGGAUGGACCCGCGUCUGAUUAGCUAGUUGGUGAGGUAAUGGCCCACCAAGGCAACGAUCAGUAGCCGGCUUGAGAGAGUGAACGGCCACAUUGGGACUGAGACACGGCCCAAAACUCCUACGGGAGGCAGCAGUGGGGAAUAUUGCACAAAUGGGCGAAAGCCUGAUGCAGCGACGCCGCGUGAGUGAUGACGUAUUUCGGCAUGUAAAAGCUCUAUCAGCAGGGAAGAUAAUGACGGUACCUGACUAAGAAGCCCCGGCUAAACUACGUGCCAGCAGCCG